AAGCAACACCAAAAAUCGAAAAUGAAGAAGCUUAUCUUCCUAAUUUUCAACAUAAUUAUGCUUUCCAUCGGCAAUUGCGGUGGCCCUUUAAUCUCUCGACUCUAUUUCAUUCAUGGCGGCCAACGAAUUUGGAUACCCAGCGUAUUACAAACUGUUGGUUGUCCAGUUAUUCUCAUCCCUUUAGCCAUUGCCUAUUUUCAACGCCGUAAAAUUCAAGGACCCGAGGCUAAAAUCGUCUUUAUCACACGGCAAGAGUUCAUCGCAUCUGCCGGAGUCGGUAUCAUCGUCGGACUCGAUGGUUACUUAAACUCAUGGGGACCCGCGAAAUUACCCGUUUCAACUUCGACUCUAAUCAACGCGACUCAGCUUGCGUUCACUGCGCUUUUUGCUGUGCUUAUAGUCAAACAGAAAUUGACUGCGUAUUCGACGAAUUCAGUCGUUUUGCUUAUCGCCGGAGCUGCGACUUUAGCCCUCCGAGCGAACGGUGACCGCCCG
RNAcentral lists this unclassified non-coding RNA (495 nucleotides) under Hevea brasiliensis (rubber tree). The record is from RNAcentral. Lineage: Eukaryota; Viridiplantae; Streptophyta; Magnoliopsida; Malpighiales; Euphorbiaceae.